Molecule: RNase P RNA, 326 nt
Filed under: Campylobacter sp.
Lineage: Bacteria; Pseudomonadati; Campylobacterota; Epsilonproteobacteria; Campylobacterales; Campylobacteraceae
Description: RNase P RNA component class A
Rfam family: Bacterial RNase P class A
About the family: Ribonuclease P (RNase P) is a ubiquitous endoribonuclease, found in archaea, bacteria and eukarya as well as chloroplasts and mitochondria. Its best characterised activity is the generation of mature 5'-ends of tRNAs by cleaving the 5'-leader elements of precursor-tRNAs.
Source: RNAcentral
UCGGUGCGACAAGCAAUCGCUAGAAAUAGAGGAAAGUCCGAGCUGCAUUAAGACAGGGUUGCGUCUAACGGACGCCUAGCGUAAGCUAAGGGAAAGUACAACAGAAAGCAAACUGCCCAAAUUUGGGCGAUGGUGAAACGGUGGUGUAAGAGACCACCAGUGGGUCAGUAAAUACUAAGCUACCCAGCUUUGCAAACCCAACCCGCAGCAAGAAGAGAUGGUUUUUAGUCUUAAAAUAUAAAACUCUUCGCUAAAAUUUGAUUGCAAAAUCAAAAUGAGAUAAAUGAUUGCCCAAACAGAACUCGGCUUAUAGUCGCACCAAAUAA